RNAcentral lists this unclassified non-coding RNA (255 nucleotides) under Hevea brasiliensis (rubber tree). Lineage: Eukaryota; Viridiplantae; Streptophyta; Magnoliopsida; Malpighiales; Euphorbiaceae. The record is from RNAcentral.
GCCCUUGUUCCUAAGUUUUGAAAUGUCUUUUCGAUAAACCCAAGUAUUAUUUCAGCACUACUGUCAUCUAGUUCUGGUAUGGCAUGUCCUUUAGGAUGGUGAAUUACUUGUGGAUCCACAAAACACUCUAAUAGAACUUCUCCAUCUUUUUUUUGGUAAUCCUUUUCUCCUAAGAAAUGAAGUGAUGGACAACUAAUUGGAUAUGAAAAUGCAUUGACAGCCAAUUUUGGUACCCCAAAUGAAGGUCCUCCAAAU